CCCCACUGCACUAAAAAGCCGUAAUUACACAGAGAUAAUGUGAGCUUGGCAGCAUCUCCUAUGGCAGUCUAUGGCUUUGAGUGAAGUUUGAUGUCCAGGUUGCUGGUCACUGCAGGCUGAGCCAACACACAGUUCAACAGAAAGAAAAAAACAAGCAUGCUCCCCAUCUCUUCCUCGUUACAAGGAAGCAGUCUUUAAACUGAGACCUUUGGAACUAGCAUUAAGCAGUAAACCAAAGCCAAAGAUCAUUCAGGAUGUUUGUAAUAAGGACAAGCAAGAGAGGAAGAGUAUACUCUACUUUGGCAAAGUUCUUACUGUGAGCACCCUCAUGAGGAGAUACUAAAAAAUAAAUAACUCCAAAGGGGAAAAAAAUAAAAAAUA
This 381-nucleotide long non-coding RNA is filed under the name Anas platyrhynchos platyrhynchos (common mallard). Its description in RNAcentral is "lncRNA (ENSAPLG00000029633.1)". Lineage: Eukaryota; Metazoa; Chordata; Aves; Anseriformes; Anatidae. The record is from RNAcentral.